Molecule: ribosomal RNA, 497 nt
Filed under: uncultured bacterium
Lineage: Bacteria
Description: partial 16S ribosomal RNA
Rfam family: Bacterial small subunit ribosomal RNA
Source: RNAcentral
GACGAACGCUGGCGGCGUGCCUAAUACAUGCAAGUUGAGCGCUGAAGGUUGGUACUUGUACCGACUGGAUGAGCAGCGAACGGGUGAGUAACGCGUGGGGAAUCUGCCUUUGAGCGGGGGACAACAUUUGGAAACGAAUGCUAAUACCGCAUAAAAACUUUAAACACAAGUUUUAAGUUUGAAAGAUGCAAUUGCAUCACUCAAAGAUGAUCCCGCGUUGUAUUAGCUAGUUGGUGAGGUAAAGGCUCACCAAGGCGAUGAUACAUAGCCGACCUGAGAGGGUGAUCGGCCACAUUGGGACUGAGACACGGCCCAAACUCCUACGGGAGGCAGCAGUAGGGAAUCUUCGGCAAUGGACGAAAGUCUGACCGAGCAACGCCGCGUGAGCGAAGAAGGUUGUCGGAUCGUAAAACUCUGUUGGUAGAGAAGAACGUUGGUGAGAGUGGAAAGCUCAUCAAGUGACGGUAACUACCCAGAAAGGGACGGCUAACUACGUG